RNAcentral lists this long non-coding RNA (4226 nucleotides) under Mytilus galloprovincialis (Mediterranean mussel). Lineage: Eukaryota; Metazoa; Mollusca; Bivalvia; Mytilida; Mytilidae. The record is from RNAcentral.
AAUCAAACAGGAUAUGCACAGUUGGUGAUAUAUAAUUAUAAAAUUUGGAGUAAUAAGGUUACAUUUUUAGUAGAACAAGCAAAGAAAAAAUAUUUUCAAAUUGUAAAGAUAGUAAAACUAUUUGGAAGUAUGUCAAAAGUCUAAAUCCUAAAAAAGUACAUAAUAAUAUCACAUAUUUAGAAUAUAAAAAUAGUGUAAUUCAAAAUGAUGUUGAUAUAGCAAAUACAUUUAAUGUGCAUUUCACAAAUAUUGCUGAAAGUAUAGUUGAUGACAAAUUAUGUAAUAAUGAUGAUGGUGCCAGAUUUGAUGCACUCAAUAAAUUUGUAAAAUCAAAGUUACAAACGGGUAGUGAAAAAUUCAUUAUACCAGAAAUGAGUAUUUUAGAUGUAAACAUGUAUUUAAAAAAACUUGACAAGUCUAAAGCAACUGGUUUAGAUGAUGUCGGACCAAAUAUUUUGGUAUGUGCAGCGAUGUCAUUGCACCAGCCUUGACAUAUAUAUUUAAUCUAAGCAUCAAAAGUGGUAAAUUUCCAAGUAUUUUUAAAACUGCAAGAGUUUGCCAAUUUUUUAAAAGUGGCGAUGUCUGUAAUCCUGAUAAUUAUAGACCAAUAGCAGUUUUGCCUUGUCUCUCAAAAAUCAUAGAACGAUAUAUAGCUAAUAGUUUGUAUAUAUUUUUAAAUAGUAAUGACCUUCUUAAUACUACACAGUCAGGUUUCAGACCUAAACAUUCGUGUACUACUGCACUUACUAAAUUAGUAGAUGAAUGGUUGGCAAAUAUAGAUAAUGGAGAGAUAAACGGAGUUAUAUUUUUAGAUUUAAAGAAAGCUUUUUGAUCUGGUUAAUCAUAUAAUUUUUAUUGAAAAAACUUGAAUAUUAUAAUGUUUCAAAUUGUACACUAGACUGGAUUUAAGUCAUACUUGUUUGAACGAAGCCAACAAGUUACGGUCAAUAACGUCAUGUCUAAUACUAAAUGCAUAAAAACUGGGGUACCACAAGGUUCUAUCCUGGGCCCUCUGUUAUUUAUUUUAUAUAUCAAUGAUUUACCACUUAAUAUAGAACAUUCAUUAAUAGAUUUAUAUGCAGAUGAUUCUACAUUACAUUGUAAAGGUAAUAGUUUCUUCAGUUAACUUCUAACCUUCAAAAUGAUAUUCAUGUAAUUGAAAACUGGUGUUCGCAAAAUUGUAUGAAAUUAAAUGCCAAAAAGUAUAAUCAAUGAUUGUUGGUUCAAAACAAAGACUUUGUUCAACUGGAAACAGUUUAGAUAUCAAUAUUUCAAAUGAACAAAUAGAAAAUGUAGAUUGUGAAAAACUUCUUGGUUUAUAUAUUGACACAAACCUAAAUUGAAAUCAGCAGAUAGAUAAAAUGUCAUGUACUAUAUCAAACAGAAUCAAUUUAAUAUUACAAAAGAUAAGAAAAUAUUUACCUAUGCAUAUACGUAUUAUCUAUUUUAAUGCUUAUAUUCUGCCAUUAUUUGAUUAUUGUUGCAAUAUAUGGGGAAGCUGUUGUGAAAGUGGAAUAAAUAAAACUUAAUAAGUAUUAAAGAAAUCUGCUAGGGUUAUAGUAGAAGCUGACAUAAUGACAUCAUCCAGUUUAUUGUUUAAUAGUUUACGCUGGUUAAAUGUGGAAAAACGCAUUCAAUACCAAAAGGCAAUACUUGUAUUUAAAUCAUUAAAUGGUAUGGUUACUAACUAUUUACAAGAAAACUUUCAUUUUACUGAUAAUCAAAAUUAUAACUUAUGUUCAGCUGAUGAAAAACUAUUAAAUCUUCCAAAACCAAAAACAAAUUUUUUAAAGAAAACAUUUACAUAUUCAGGUUCUCAGAUAUGGAACAGUUUACCAAAUGAAAUAAAAAUGAGUAAUACACUUGUAUCUUUUAAAACAAAAUGUUACAAAUUUUUCAUCAAUUGUGCAAAUUAAUAUGCUUUUUGAUUAUUAUUAAAUACAAUUGUAUAUUGUGUAUAAUAUAACUUUAUAAUACUCUAUGUACUGUAAAUUCAGAAAUUAAUGCGAGAUUUUUAUUAUUGCGAAAUAUGCGACUGAGUUGUAAACGCAAUAAUUUAAACUCGCAUUUUGAAAUAUUUUAUAUGAAUUUAACAGGAUUUUUCUGAAAAUCGUAAAAAUUAAAAUCGCAUUUAAGUCUAAAAUGAAAAUAUCGCAAUAAUAAAUGCACGCAAUAAUUUCUGAAUUUACAGUACUUAUAAAUAUGUUAUUAUAAUUUGAGGACUCUCAGGAAGAUUAGUUUUAACUAAUGGGAUCAUCCUCUUGAAAUAAAGAUUAUUUAUUUAUUUAUUUAUUUAUACGUAAGUGUAGAAUAUAGUAAGACUUAGGCAGUUAAAUAACAAGUAAACAGGCAGUGGUAUUUACUGACGAAAUUUCUCGCUACAUUGAAGACCUGUUGGUGACCUUCUGCUGUUGUUUUUUUCUAUGGUCGGGUUGUUGUCUCUUUGGCACAUUCCCCAUUUCCAUUCUCAAUUUUACGUAUUGUAAGGCUACACUAAGUUAUCGUGACUAUAAUGUUUUACACACAAAAUCAAGCAGAUAAGAUUGAUUAAAAAUAGUUGAAUGUAUCAUAUUGCUCAAACUAUUGAUGUCGCGCACAGUUUUAUAUAAGCUUAUACGUGCUGUUACAUUCAUUGUUAUUUUGACCCGUUCCAGUAACCAGACUGAUGUCCUUCAAAUUUAAUGCUGGUUGGAUUACACAGGGCAGACUUGUUGUCGUUACUUGCUUGGCAUUGCAUGUAUUAAUGUCUAGAAAGUUACAUUCGAUGUUGACUAAUCGUAUCCAUAACUUAUCUAUACUCUAUUGAAAUCAACCUUGGUAAAAUGGCAAACUUCUUUUGGAACAUUUGUCUGAAAAUGUUUUAAAUUUGUAUCAAUAAAAGUCGAAACUAGUAUUGUCAAUGACAAAAAUCGCAAGCGGGUUUUUUUUUAUUUUAUAUAUAAAUUCACUACAUAAGAUGAUAAAAUGGCAAAGUCUCGUCUCAAUUUCUUCGUUGUAUUCUUACGCAGUCAAAAAUAAUUGUUAUUAAUCACAGAUUUUUAAAUUUGUUUUUCGUUAGAAUUUUGCACCAACAUCAAUAUAAUAGAAGUUCCUUUUCUAGAUGGUCUAUUACUAUGUGUCAUGCAAAAAUUAUGAAUAAAGGGAAACUCGUCAUAUUAGUACAUGAAACAUUCAGCUUCUUCCUUCCGCAUUUUUAGAUAAUCACCGAAUCAUAUUUAUUUAUUUGAAUAAUUGAUGAGAUUUAAAUAUCGGAAACAACUGUUGCCUCUUUUUUUUUACUUGUUUAUGUCUUAGUUUAUUAGCAGCAUUUACGCAUUAUUAAACGCAUUAUUUUUUCUUGUUUACCAGCUUUGACAUAUUUUUAGUCUAGACAGUUGCUGCUGUCUGUUAUGUUCUUUCUUGGACAAAUACGAGUAUAAUCAUGGUCUUUGUCAAUGACUUCUCACUAUGAUGAUCAUGCUUGCAAACAAAUUUAAGAAAAAAAUAGUUAAAUUAAGACAAACAGCAUCGAUAUGGACAGUCUGUGUCAAAUAUAUUCGACUUUACAUUUUGCAAUAUGGUUAAAAAACACUAUCAAAAAUAUAAAGCAUAGAAUCUGUUGACACAAAUAGAAUAAAAACUUUGUAUUCUCAAAAUAGUAAUUACAUUUUACUGCAAAUGAAAAUGGCUGAAAAUAAGUUUGAAGUUUUAACUAAUUAAACAUUCAUUCAAACACUAAAAACAACUUUAAAAGUAGACGAAAUCUAAAAUACAAUCAAACAGUAUAGACUAAAGUACACCUUGGACAGAAAGAACUAACGUUACAACACCACGUUGGCAAAGCAGUGUUUUACACACGAAAUCAGGUAGGAAAGUUUAAUUUAAAACAUUUUAAUUUAUCAAAUUGCUGAAACAGUAAAUGUCUCGCACAGGUUUAUAUAACCCGAUUCGUGAAAAUAUCAUUGUUAUUUCGAUCCCUUAUAUUCCUGAUUGUUUGGAUUCAAUUGGUUGGAGUGGUUGUCCAGGUCUGGCUUAGUCCCGGUUCCAGUAUAACCAGGCUGAUGUCCUUCAUAUUUAGUGCUGGUUGGAUUACACUGGGCAGACUUGUUAUCGUUACUAGCUUGGCCUUGACCUCUUCCAGACAUGUUUCUACUGUAAAAAAUAAAUACGGUUUUAGAUAAGAGAUAAGUAGGCAAUGGUAUCCAGAAUUUUCAAAUAAGCAAAAAACAGAAAAUUCAAUGUUAUGC